RNAcentral lists this long non-coding RNA (5419 nucleotides) under Citrus x clementina. RNAcentral describes it as "Citrus clementina (C. clementina) long non-coding RNA (CCLE_LNC002808)". The record is from RNAcentral. Lineage: Eukaryota; Viridiplantae; Streptophyta; Magnoliopsida; Sapindales; Rutaceae.
AAAUAGAAAAAACCACAUCAUUUUGUGAAUAUAUAUAUAAUCAUGAAUCACAAUAAACAUAAUGUACAUGUUGCAAAAGGUAUGGCAACCAAUUGUUUAAAUGUUAUGCAGAAUUUAGUGCACAAUUUUUGCUGUAGGAUAGAAUGCAUAUAUACAGUGUAAUAUGCCAGAAGCUUAACAGUCCAAAUUUAGGACCCUCUUGCGUCUAGAUGAAGUUGUCUUGAAGAUUGUUUCAAUUCAUUUUCUGCCUUUUCUACUACAGUAUGUUCCUUUCAAAUAAUGAAUAAAAAAGUCAACAUAUUAUCGUGUCAUGACAUCAACAAAUUCUGAUUGUUGAAUUAAAAGAUACUCCGCUUGAGAUAUGCUCUGGUUGAGAAAGGCAACAGGUCAGCACUCUCACUCAAAGUUAGCCCAGUGAUGGUCCUAUGUAACACUACUAGCCGUCCAUUGAGUAAUUACUACUGCCAAUGCCGAAUAGCAACAUCCUCAGAUCACAAAAUGUGUUGAAAGGUUGACCAAAUCAAAUUGAUUUGGUUUUCCUUAUAUAUUUAGGUGUAUAUUUGGUGUAAAUAUAGAGUUAUUGCUUCCUAGAAAUUAGUGUGUAAUAUUCUGCUUUAAUUUUUUCUUUCCUUUCUUAGUCUCUUGUAUCCCUAUAUUAAGAUUGUGUACAGUCUCAUGAAGAUAUGAAAAAGAGAAUUAUUCCAUAAACUUUUUCUCUACCUAUUUUCACAUGGUAUCAGAGCUAGGCUCCCUUUCUUUCUGAUCUCUUCCCUACCAUGUCUGACCAAUCUUCUGAAACCACAGUCACCUCAAAAAGACUAGAACCAAAAAUUUCCCAUUCUGAAUCUCAUUCUGUCCAGAUUACAACUAUCCGGCUGAAUGAAGGAAAUUUUCAAAGAUGGUCUCAAUCGGUUAGAAUGUAUAUUAGAGGAAGAGGGAAGAUUGGUUAUCUUACCGGAGAUGUUAAGGCUCCUGAAAUAUCUUAUCCCUCUUAUGGUGUUUGGGAUGCCGAAAACUCCAUGAUUAUGGCAUGGUUAGUCAACUCCAUGGAUGAAGACAUUGGUGCAAAUUAUAUGUGCUACUCUACUGCAAAAGAACUCUGGGAUAAUGUGAGACAGAUGUACUCUGACUAUGGAAAUCAGUCCCAGAUCUAUGAGUUGCAGCUUGCUCUUGGAGAUAUCCAUCAAGGAGAUUAUAGUAUAACAAAAUACUUCAAUACUCUAAAGAGAUUGUGGCAAGAUCUGGACUUAUUCAAUGACUACGAGUGGAAGAGCACGGAAGAUUUUAAACACCACAAACAAACUGUCAAUAAUGAACGAAUCUUCAAGUUCCUGGCUGGGCUCAAUGUUGAAUUUGAUGAGGUAAGAGGAAGAAUUAUUGGGAGAAAGCCACUUCCUACUCUUGAGGAUGUUUUCUCUGAAGUAAGGAGAGAAGAAAGUCAUCGAGGUGUUAUGUUGGGAAAAAAGAACUCCAUUGUCUCUGUGGAAAAAUCUGCCCUUGUUACAGCAUAUGCUAAUGCUACCCGGUCCACGGUCCAUCACUCAACAGCAACAAAAACCUCGAGUAUGGUAUGAUUACUGUAAUAAACCACGCCAUACUCGGGAGGCUUGCUGGAAACUCCACGGAAAGCCUGCAGACUGGAAAAACAGCAAGCAUAGCCGUGCGUCUGCCAAUGAACUGGAGAAUCUGGAAAAAAAUCUCAGCAAGGAGCAAAUUGACCAUCUCAUAAAGCUGCUGACUUCUAAUCCUCCACCUAGUACUCCUAGCCAUUCACCAGCCCAAACAGGUAGUAUUAUUAAUGCUCUAUUUAGCCACUCAACUACUGCACCAUGGAUUAUUGAUUCGGGUGCUUCUGAUCAUAUGAUUAGCAUUUCUAGUUUAUUUGAUUCCUAUUAUCCUUGCCCUGGUAACAAAAAGGUAAGAGUUGCUGAUGGAAGCUUAUCUUUCAUAGCUGGAAAAUGAUCAAUAAAAAUCUCCGGAACCAUUGAGCUAAAAAAUUUGCUACAUGCCCCUAAACUUUGUGCAAUCUGUUAUCUGUCAGUAAAUUAACCAAAGAUUCUAAUUGUUGUGCUGUCUUUUUUGACUCCCAUUGUGAAUUUCAGGACAGGGACUUGGGGACGAUGAUUGGCAAUGCUAGUUUGCGAGAAGGUCUUUACUAUUUUGAUGACUACUUAUCAAGGAAUAAACAAGCUCAAGGUUUGAGCAGUAGUAUUAGUUCAAACUCUACUUGGGAUCAAAUAAUGCUUUGGCACCUUAGACUAGGACACCCUAGCUUUCCUUAUUUGAAAUAUCUGUUUCCAGAUUUAUUUAAAAAUGUUGAUUGUACUACUUUUCAGUGUGAAAGUUAUUUUGAUUGUACUACUUUUCAGUGUGAAAGUUGUUUUUUAUCUAAAAGUCAUCGAGUUUCAUAUAAAGUACUUACUUAUCGUGCCUCAAAACCUUUUUAUUUAAUUCAUAGUAUUGUUUGGGGACCCUCAAAAAUCAAUACUUUAACUGGAAAAAAAUGAUUUGUAACAUUCAUUGAUGAUCAUACUCGGCUUUGUUGGGUUUAUUUAAUGAGAGAAAAAUCUGAAGUUGAGGGGUUAUUCAAAGAUUUUUAUAACAUGGUUGAAAAUCAAUUUCAAACAAAAAUAAGCCUACUCUAUACAGAUAAUGGUACUGAAUAUUUUAAUAAUUAUCUAGAGGUGUUUUGUAAGGAAAAGGCUAUAAUUCACACAUCCACUUGUCAUGAUACUCCACAACAAAAUGGAAUUGCGGAACGAAAAAACCGCCAUUUACUUGAAGUUAGUUGGGCUAUCAUGCUCUCUAUGCAUGUUCCUAAAUAUUUGUGGGGUGAUGUUGUUUUAACAGCAUGUUAUUUGAUUAAUAGGAUGCCUACCCGUGUUUUAAAGUAUCAAUCACCUUUAGAAUACUUCACACUUAUAUAUCAUUCUAGUAGGAUAACCUUCAAUAUUCAGUUAAGAGUCUUUGGGUGCACUGUUUUUGUUUAUGUUCCUAACCAUCGUAGAUCUAAAUUGGAUCCUAGAUCCGAAAAAUGUGUUUUCUUGGGCUAUGCUCCUAAUAAAGAAGGCUACAAAUGUUUCAAUCCUCAAACAAAGAAAUUCCAUGUCAGUAUGGAUGUUAUAUUUCUCGAAAAUCAACCAUGUUUUUGGCCAAAAUUCUCUUCAGGGGGAGAAAGAAAAUAGCGAAGAUCAUUUUUGGCAUACUUCUACACCUAUGCCUAAUCUGUUUUUACCUGAUCUGAGCACUUUAACUCAAACUCAAAAAACUGAUAUUUCUAAUAAUGAAAACUUAGGAAACCUUGAACUAUAGGAACCAAGUGUUAAUGUACCAGAGACAGGGGGAGAAAUACUACAAUAUAAAAUUCCACCACCAGAGCUUCGUGUUUAUACUCGACAAAGGUAUCAUCACAGCAGUAAAGACCCUCCCAUAAACUCGGUACAACCUCAAUUGUCGCCUCCAAGCACUGAUUCCUCAGAAAAUUCAGGUAACAUUUCUUUUCCUAAACAUAGCACAUAGGAAAGGAACCCGAACCUGUACUAAGCACCCCAUUGCUAAAUAUGUUUCGUAUGAAAAGUUGUCCAAUAAACAAAGAGCCUUUACCACAAAAAUCUCUCAUAUACCAAUUCCUAAAACCAUAAAAGAAGCCUUAGACCACCCAGAUUGGAAGUUAGAGUUUUAGAGGAAAUGAAUGCUUAAAGAAGAAUGGUACGUGGGAGAUUGUGGAUUUACCAAAAGAAAAGAAAACUGUGGGUUGUAAGUGGGUGUUUACAGUUAAAUGUAAUGCUUGGGAGUGUUGAGAGAUAUAAGGCAAGGCUUGUAGCAAAAGGGUUCACUCAAACCUAUGAAAUUGAUUAUCAAGAAAUCUUUGCCCCCGUUGCAACGAUAAAUUCUAUCCGGGUCCUUAUCUCAUUGGCUGUACAUUCUGAUUGGAAUCAACACCAAUUAGAUGUUAAAAAUGCUUUUCUGAAUGGGGAGCUAGAAGAAGAAGUCUUUAUGGAUUUACCACCGAGGGAAAUCAUGGCAGCAGUAAAGUGUGUAAACUACAAAAGUCUUUGUAUGGGCUCAAACAGUCUCCUAGAGCAUGGUUUGAACGCUUUGGUAAUGUUGUAACGGGACACGGCUACUCCCAAAGUCAGGCAGAUCAUACAAUGUUUUACAAACAUUCUAUUGAAGGGAAAUUAGCCGUGUUAAUUGUAUAUGUAGAUGAUAUAAUUUUGACCGGUGAUGACUUAGUUGAGAUUUGCAGAUUAAAGAAAGUGCUUGCACGUGACUUUGAAAUCAAAGACUUAGGCAACCUGAAAUAUUUUUUGGGCAUGGAGUUUGCUAGAUCAAAAGAUGGGAUUGUUGUGUCUCAACGCAAGUAUGUUCUUGAUUUGCUUGAAGAGUCAGGUCUACUCGGAUGUAAAGCAGCUGAGACACCCAUAGAUCCUAAUAUGAAAUUACAGCCAGCUAAAAUUGAAGAUGUGACCAACAUAGAUCGGUACCAACGCCUUGUAGGUAGAUUAAUCUACUUUUCACAUACACGCCCAGACAUAACCUUUACAGUGAGCUUAGUCAGCCAGUUUAUGCAUGCUCCAGGACCAGAACACUUUGAAACUGUAUACAGAAUCCUUAGAUACUUAAAAGGAUCUCCGGUUAAAGGUCUUUUGUUUAGAAAAAACGGGCACCUACAAGUAGAAGUCUACACAGAUGCUGACUGGGCUGGUAGUGUAACCGAUAGAAGAUCCACUUUUGGUUACUGCACCUUUGUUGGAGGAAAUUUGGUCACUUGGCGCAACAAGAAACAAAUUGUGGUAGCAAGAAGUAGUGCAGAGGCAGAAUAUAGAGCAGUAGCUCUAGGAAUUUGUGAGGUUCUUUGGAUCAAAAAAAUUCUUGAAGAAGUUAAGGCAAGUAAUUCUCUACCUAUGAAAGUAUAUUGUGACAACAAAUCUGCCAUUGCAAUAGCACAUAAUCCAGUACUCCACGACCGAACUAAACAUGUUGAAGUGGACAAACACUUCAUAAAAGAAAAAUUGGACAGUGGUUUGAUUUGCAUGCCCUACAUUCCUACAGAUGAGCAGAUUGCUGAUAUACUCACCAAGGGACUACCUAGGAAACAUUUCGAGAAAUUGGUUUGCAAGCUGGCCAUGAAAGACAUUUUUAGACCAGCUUGAGGGGGAGUGUUGAAAGGUUGACCAAAUCAAAUUGAUUUGGUUUUCCUUAUAUAUUUAGGUGUAUAUUUGGUGUAAAUAUAGAGUUAUUGCUUCCUAGAAAUCAGUGUGUAAUAUUCUGCUUUAAUUUUUUCUUUCCUUUCUUAGUCUCUUGUAUCCCUAUAUUAAGACUAUGUACAGUCUCAUGAAGAUAUGAAAAAGAGAAUUAUUCCAUAAACUUUCUCUCUACCUAUUUUCACAAAAUGUAAAGAAUUGGAAGGUACCUU